UGGCCUUCCCACCCGCCCCUAUUGUUCCGCCCCCGGCCUCCCGCCCUUCCCCUUCCCGCCCGCUCCCCUUUUCCCCUCAGUCGCCUCGCGCCUGCAGUGACCAAAGACUUGACCACUCAAAGUCCAGCUCCCCAGAAUACUGCUCGACAUGGACACCGGUGUGAUUGAAGGUGGAUUAAACGUCACUCUCACCAUCCGGCUACUUAUGCAUGGAAAGGAAGUUGGCAGUAUCAUCGGAAAGAAAGGAGAAUCAGUUAAGAAGAUGCGUGAGGAGAGUGGUGCACGUAUCAACAUCUCAGAAGGGAAUUGUCCUGAGAGAAUUAUCACUUUGGCUGGACCCACUAAUGCCAUCUUCAAAGCCUUCGCUAUGAUCAUUGACAAACUGGAAGAGGACAUCAGCAGCUCUAUGACCAAUAGCACAGCUGCCAGUAGACCCCCAGUCACCCUGCGGCUGGUGGUGCCUGCUAGUCAGUGUGGCUCUCUCAUUGGGAAAGGUGGUUGCAAGAUCAAGGAAAUAAGAGAGAGUACAGGAGCUCAAGUCCAGGUGGCAGGGGAUAUGCUCCCCAACUCAACUGAGCGGGCCAUCACUAUUGCUGGCAUUCCGCAAUCCAUCAUUGAGUGUGUGAAACAGAUCUGCGUGGUCAUGUUGGAGUCCCCCCCGAAGGGCGUGACCAUCCCGUACCGGCCCAAGCCGUCCAGUUCACCAGUCAUCUUUGCAGGUGGUCAGGCCUAUACCAUUCAAGGACAGUAUGCCAUUCCACAGCCAGAUUUGACCAAGCUGCACCAGUUGGCAAUGCAACAGUCUCAUUUUCCCAUGACGCAUGGCAACACCGGAUUCAGUGCAGGUUUGGAUGCAUCUGCUCAGACUACUUCUCAUGAACUCACCAUUCCAAAUGAUUUGAUUGGCUGCAUAAUCGGGCGUCAAGGCGCCAAAAUCAAUGAGAUCUGUCAGAUGUCUGGGGCGCAGAUCAAAAUUGCGAACCCAGUGGAAGGAUCUACUGAUAGGCAGGUUACCAUCACUGGAUCUGCUGCCAGCAUUAGCCUGGCUCAAUAUCUAAUCAAUGUCAGGCUUUCUUCGGAGACGGGUGGCAUGGGGAGCAGCUAGAACAAUGCAGAUUCAUCCAUAAUCCCUUUCUGCUGUUCACCACCACCCAUGAUCCAUCUGUGUAGUUUCUGAACAGUCAGCGAUUCCAGGUUUUAAAUAGUUUGUAAAUUUUCAGUUUCUACACACUUUAUCAUCCACUCGUGAUUUUUUAAUUAAAGCGUUUUAAUUCCUUUCUCUGUUCAGCUGUUAAUGCUGAGAUCCAUAUUUAGUUUUAUAAGCUUCUCCCUGUUUUGUUUUUUUUUGGUGUUUUUUUUUUUUGGCUCAUGAAUUUUUUUUUUGUUUGUCAUGGAAAUGUAAGAGUGGAAUAUUAAUACAUUUCAGUUUAGUUCUGUAAUGUCAGGAAUUUUUCAAAAAAAUUAAAAGAUGGACUGGAGCUUUUUCUUUGUGAAUAGAAA
Myotis lucifugus (little brown bat) is the source of this 1500-nucleotide RNA transcript. It is a transcript of the gene named poly(rC)-binding protein 2 pseudogene, with no coding region annotated. The record is from RefSeq and is a predicted model, not a curated record. Lineage: Eukaryota; Metazoa; Chordata; Mammalia; Chiroptera; Vespertilionidae. The transcript has 2 exons.